AGCACCAUCUGAAAUCGGUUA
Molecule: non-coding RNA, 21 nt
Filed under: Bos taurus (domestic cattle)
Lineage: Eukaryota; Metazoa; Chordata; Mammalia; Artiodactyla; Bovidae
Also listed under: 1 other name
Source: RNAcentral